UUAAAGAAGUCAUUGCAUGAAGAAGCUGCCAGGAUGAUAUUACAAUCACCUUAACUGUCAGUUCAGCCAAAUUACAAAAAAAUAAGAAGCUUUCCCAUGGUGUCUCCAGCCAUCAACAUAGUCUGGGUUUAAUUCAGCUGAGUUUUGAGAACGCCUGCCACCACCCAAAUGCAAUGGAGGUGAACAGAAAUUCACUUGUUGUGCUUCAAUAAUAAAAACCAUGACAUUUGAAAAGCUCAUGCAGCAAAACAGUCCAGAAACAAUGUCCAGAUUACUCUGGAUACCCUACAGACCUUUAAAUGGACAUUUUACAAAUUAUUACCUAACAAAAUAGUCCCCUGGAAUCUGUUGACAGUGAGGUCUGUGGAUUAUCCAGAGAAAUCUGAACAUUGGUACUGGAAACAUUGAUGAUCUUAGGACCACAAGUGAAAGUGAUAAGUAUCUAAAAACUUGGAAUGAGCGCAGAAAAAGACACUCAAGCAGUGAGAAAAUCUGUUUUUGUGAUUUGGGAGGACUGACCCUUUAAUGAAACAGUGUAUGUGCAGUAGGGUCUAAAGCAAUGAGCCAGAACCAAGAGGCCUUUUUAUUUCAUCAUUUAUCAAAAUUCAUCCAUGUUUGUUGGGGAAAUACCUGAUAUCGAUAUCUUGACUUUGAGUAAAUCUUUUGUAAUAUCUGAACAUUAUUCCAUCACUUUAUAAUACAGCAUUUAUAUUGGGUUUGAAUUGCGGAAAACCAUGAAAGUCAACACCUCCUGCCCUUCAAACCAGCCUGUCAACAAGUCUUGAAGUGUAAUUGCACUUAAUAUCCUCUUUGUAAAUGAAUCCUUUCCAAUAGAUUGGAAGCCAAAAAAGAAAGUAAGAAAAUAAUGAGGUUCCUCUAUGGACUUCUGCAUGCAGCUAUCAUCUCCUUAUAUAAGCUCUCCAAUUUGAACUGAUGUGUAAACAAUAGGUUCCUGUGGUCAUUAGCAGUGACAGUUUGGCCCACCCAGAACAUUUAGUCAUCAGCAGAGGAGGUUUGGAAAAUGUAAGUGUCACUCAUUACUGCAGUCUGACAGUUGUCUUUUAUGAACUGCAGUCAGACCUUCGGUUCAGUUGCAUUUGUAUCAUAGAUACCAUAAGGAUGUUUAGUUGCUAUAUUAUUGACUUGAUGUACUGCUGUGUGUGUGAAUCUGUGUUUCCAAUUAUUCAAAUGAAAAGAUGAGAUCUUCAUACUGUUCAGUAGCUGAGAAAGAG
This 1232-nucleotide long non-coding RNA is filed under the name Dicentrarchus labrax (European seabass). RNAcentral describes it as "lncRNA (ENSDLAG00005026542.1)". The record is from RNAcentral. Lineage: Eukaryota; Metazoa; Chordata; Actinopteri; Moronidae.